CGCUUGUGGGCGCAAAAUUAAAAAUUAUCCAACUAUUUAUGUGAUAUUAGAGUAUUGGUCUAAAAAUAAGAGAACAAAAAAUAUUUCUAUGGGUUGAAAAUAUAUAAUUAUUAUGCAUGUGAUCUUGUUAUCUUCAGAUUUGAGACCGUUAAAUCUUAAUCAAGCAUUUUUAUCUUGGCACUACAAAGUAGUACACUAUUUCUAAAAGCAUAAUAUCACACUGCACUGGUAAUAAUUAUAAACUUAUUCAAGUAAGUAAAUAUUCAGCAUCUCAAUCUCAUAAGUUACUUGUGUAGGGGGUCCUCCACAAUU
This 312-nucleotide long non-coding RNA is filed under the name Hordeum vulgare. Its description in RNAcentral is "long non-coding RNA (HVUL_LNC015226)". Lineage: Eukaryota; Viridiplantae; Streptophyta; Magnoliopsida; Poales; Poaceae. The record is from RNAcentral.